AGCCAGGAGGAGGGGGGCGCCCGCCCCCUCCCGCGGCGGACCCUCGAGGUGUACCAGGAGCCCUCUGCCCCCCAGCUUGGGAAGCGGGACAGGGCCUUUGGGGCGUCAGAGGCGGCGUGAGUGUUACCAUGGCGAUCAAGGAACGGAGGGUCGAGAUGGAAGUGGGACUGGCGGCGUGGGCGAGGGGAGGCAGAGCGGGGAGCAGCCUGCUCCGGGGCCCUCCCUUUGGGCGGCCCCGGGCCCCUGGCUGCCCGCCUCCUCGCAGGGGACUCCCUCUCGCGGGUGUCUCAGGCCAGGCCCUGCUUGCUGGGGGGCUUUGCCUGCAAUUUGGGGAGGAGCGGAGGAAUUGUCUUCCAGGAGCAGCAGAGGCUUCACGGGGCACCUCCCGGCGAUGGGCAGUGGUCAGAGGCUCCCCUGGAGGAGGUUCCUGCCCUCCCCAAAGGAGCCGGUGCCCCUCAUAGAGCAUCGCAAGGCCUUUUUGUCGCCCACAAGACUCGGGUUUGGGCUCUGGGGUGGCAGGAGGCGAGGGGAGGGCCCUUUCCUUGAUGCCAGAGGGGCUGAGCGCCCCUUGUUCUUUGAAUGCACCCAAGCCUUGUCCUCCCCGCUUUCUCCCAGACCCUCUCAGCCCCCGCGAUGGGAUAAUUAGAUGCGAGGGCUCAGUGCAGACGAUGCUCCUGUCGCUUAGCAACUAAUGGUUUCCAUGGACACAGUGAACCACAGCCUGCUGAGCAGCAAGUGAGCAGUGCAGGAGGGCAGGGAGAGAGGAAACUCCCCCAUCAUCCACUUCUGGGCGUGGAGGUGCCCACUAGAUCCGGCUUCCACCUUCUGGGCUGAAUGGAUCUUCAGACCGGUCUCUGAUCGAGCCUUUGGUCCACGGAGGAAUCCCCUUUCAAAAUCCCAGAAUCAGGUGGAGAAAAAGCUGUUUGAAAAACAGAAGACACCAUCAACACUGAGAACAAACAGACAAGUUAGAUGUUUCGGAUUUUACCCUCUGUUGCGCUUGGUUGAUUUUCGGGGGGGGAAACUGAGGAAGGGGAGCAAGGCUCAGAAUACACAGUGCCGUAUGAAAUAACAUUUUGUCAGUCACAUUUUUUUACUUUUUCUGAAUCUUUCAUUUUCAGUGACUUUGGAAAACUGAAGGAUUACCUGUAUUGAGAGAAGCGUCUCUACCCUUUUACAUAUUAAUUUUGGUGUAUUUCAUUUGGUCCAUUUCCAAAUAUAA
Python bivittatus (Burmese python) is the source of this 1222-nucleotide non-coding RNA. The record is from RefSeq and is a predicted model, not a curated record. NCBI's taxonomy places the organism in Eukaryota, Metazoa, Chordata, Lepidosauria, Squamata, Pythonidae.